This 177-nucleotide ribosomal RNA is filed under the name Anaerostipes sp. Marseille-Q3525. RNAcentral's name for it is "partial 23S ribosomal RNA". It matches the Rfam family "Bacterial large subunit ribosomal RNA", at positions 2749 to 2925 of the family's 2925-position model. The record is from RNAcentral. Lineage: Bacteria; Bacillati; Bacillota; Clostridia; Lachnospirales; Lachnospiraceae.
CCAAGUCUGGAAGGGAUAAACGCUGAAGGCAUCUAAGCGUGAAGCCCCCCUAAAGAUAAGAUUUCCCAUACCGAAAGGUAGUAAGACCCCUUGAAGACGACGAGGUAGAUAGGGCAGAGGUGGAAGUGUGGUAACGCAUGGAGCUGACUGUUACUAAUCGGUCGAGGCUUUAACCAA